Molecule: transfer RNA, 66 nt
Filed under: human gut metagenome
Also listed under: 1 other name
Rfam family: tRNA
About the family: Transfer RNA (tRNA) molecules are approximately 80 nucleotides in length. Their secondary structure includes four short double-helical elements and three loops (D, anti-codon, and T loops).
Source: RNAcentral
AAUGUAGCUCAAUUGGUUAGAGCGUCGGAUUGUGGUUCCGAAGGUCGCGGGUUCGACCCCCGUCUU